This 468-nucleotide ribosomal RNA is filed under the name uncultured bacterium. Its description in RNAcentral is "partial 16S ribosomal RNA". It matches the Rfam family "Bacterial small subunit ribosomal RNA", at positions 28 to 507 of the family's 1533-position model. The record is from RNAcentral.
GACGAACGCUGGCGGCGUGCUUAACACAUGCAAGUCGAACGGAAAGGCCCUGCUUUUGUGGGGUGCUCGAGUGGCGAACGGGUGAGUAACACGUGAGUAACCUGCCCUUGACUUUGGGAUAACUUCAGGAAACUGGGGCUAAUACCGGAUAGGAGCUCCUGCUGCAUGGUGGGGGUUGGAAAGUUUCGGCGGUUGGGGAUGGACUCGCGGCUUAUCAGCUUGUUGGUGGGGUAGUGGCUUACCAAGGCUUUGACGGGUAGCCGGCCUGAGAGGGUGACUGGCCACAUUGGGACUGAGAUACGGCCCAGACUCCUACGGGAGGCAGCAGUGGGGAAUAUUGCACAAUGGGCGGAAGCCCGAUGCAGCAACGCCGCGUGCGGGAUGACGGCCUUCGGGUUGUAAACCGCUUUCGCCUGUGACGAAGCGUGAGUGACGGUAAUGGGUAAAGAAGCACCGGCUAACUACGUG